RNAcentral lists this ribosomal RNA (425 nucleotides) under uncultured bacterium. RNAcentral's name for it is "bacterial SSU rRNA". It matches the Rfam family "Bacterial small subunit ribosomal RNA", at positions 354 to 796 of the family's 1533-position model. The record is from RNAcentral.
GCAAGGAAUCUUGCGCAAUGGGCGAAAGCCUGACGCAGCAACGCCGCGUGGGGGAUGAAGGCCUUCGGGUCGUAAACCCCUUUUGCUGGGGAAGUAACUGACGGUACCCAGCGAAUAAGCCACGGCUAACUACGUGCCAGCAGCCGCGGUAAUACGUAGGUGGCAAGCGUUGUCCGGAUUUACUGGGCGUAAAGCGCACGCAGGUGGCCUAUCAAGUCUGGGGUGAAAUCUCCUGGCUCAACCAGGAGAGGUCUCUGGAUACUGGUAGGCUUGAGGGCAGCAGAGGAGAGCAGAAUUCCCGGUGUAGCGGUGAUAUGCGUAGAUAUCGGGAGGAAUACCAGUGGCGAAGGCGGCUCUCUGGGCUGUCCCUGACGCUGAGGUGCGAAAGCGUGGGGAGCAAACCGGAUUAGAUACCCUAGUAGUCC